CUGCAGGUAUCAUUCAGUGGUAGAGAGCUUGCCUAGUAUGCAUGAGUCCCGGGUUUGAUCCCCAGCAUGAAGA
This 73-nucleotide transfer RNA is filed under the name Marmota monax (woodchuck). RNAcentral's name for it is "tRNA.Thr". The record is from RNAcentral. Lineage: Eukaryota; Metazoa; Chordata; Mammalia; Rodentia; Sciuridae.